GAAAGGGAGAUCAAAAAACAAAAGAAAAAAUGAAAGACAGAGGAACACUGAGCAUCUGGAGGGGGGUAAGGGAAGGGCGUCGUGUGCUUCUCGCAUUCAUUUUUUCUUUGCUUCUUGACGUCUCUCUAUGAUUAUGUGC
Molecule: non-coding RNA, 139 nt
Filed under: Chromera velia
Lineage: Eukaryota; Chromeraceae
Source: RNAcentral